GAUGAAAAUCCUGAAAGUCACUGUGUAAGGCAGGGGCCCCGUAUCACCUUGGCCUUGGGCCUUCUGUAAGAGAUCCCAUGUUUAUUCAAAUGAAUCUUCCAGCGGCCUGUGGCUAAAGCCAGAAGAAUUCAGGGGGAGUUUUUCUAGUGCUUCCAGGAGGCCAAGAAUUCGCACCUGAAUAGCUAAGUGAUCACUAAGUGCAUUCCUUUAAAAUUUGUUUAGCACUGGUUUGACAGCUUUCCAUAUGCUUCUUCCCUGUUAGGAAAGUUACAUGUGAGCCACGUAAACCUAUCUCAGUAGCUUCUUUUAAAACUAGCUUUAGGGUUCAGCUGUCCAUAUGUCACACGCAGUCUGCCUUGCUGCAGAACAUGCUGCAGUGGGAGCUUUUAUUACUUGCUAUUACACAGCUGCCUGCUGGAACUAGAGGGAGUACAAAACAACCAAAGAGGCUAAAGACUAACCAAGUUUUGUUUAUCAUGGAUUUGAUCUACUGACAUGCAGGUGAGAGGCUCCGUAUAUUAGUACUCAUCCCUCAUUACUCCUCUUUGAGGAAAUGCUCUAGGAACCUAUUUUUGUGUUUCUGAAAUCAUCUGGAUGGACCCUGUGUGUAUUGAAUGCAAAGUAGUUAAGGGAUUUGGCUGCAGAAAACCUUAAUCACCUUGGUCUUUGGCAAAGUGAGCAGUGGUGAGAAGUCUAAUCUACAGUUAAUCUCUUCAGAUAAUAAAGAUAACAGUACUGUCGGAAAAUAGAAGCUCUGAAUGGAACAAAUAAACGAGAAGAAACCACUGAGUCCUGGGUAACAGAACCAAAACACAGGAUGGAUGAACUACAAACUGAAAAAAUGAUCAUCUUUUAGGCACGACACUUUUUGCAACAGGUGACUGACUAAAAGAUAGAAGAUAUGCAGGUAAUGCAACUCAAACACUCUAUUUGAAGCCUUAGUUAAUGAGGAAUGAUGAAUAAUGCAUUGACUAUUAUAGAAGCGUUACAUAAAUCAACAGCACACACCUGCAAUAUUCUACUCACCGCCAAAAGAGACACAGAGGAGGUCUCAGAGUUAAGUAAUGAAUGUGACCAGGGGCAGAAGAAAGUUUCUGUACAGAGAGAGACUGAGGUUUUUGAGGUCAGAAUGAAGAUGCUUAAGAAAAAUCAGAAAAUGAUCAAAAAACUGGAUCCAAUCAAUUACUGAAUAUUGGUUCAGUAUUUCAGAGGCUAUGUAGAUCUGUAGCAUCAGCUUUGCGCACUGUUGACCUAAUCCUUUUGCUGCCAUGUAUAUGCAAUGAUUUUGAGGAAUGUCAAAGCUGGGGGAAAACUGGCACAGAUUAACAUCAGACUGAAAAGGUAUGAUUCUGAAGAGGUAAAGUCCAGCUCACAUCUCAUAGAGGAGAAAAGAGAAACCUGGGCACUCACUGAGGGAGUUGCUGAGACCAGGAAUUAAUGUUUCACAAAAUGAAAGAGGUAGAAGGAAGUAAUUUUAAUCAACAUCAGUUUAUUUAGUUACAGAAGACCAAAUGAAAUGUAACAAGUGGAUGUGAGAAUUAAAUCGCUAAGUGAACUGCCUAUGAUUUCACAGUUACUUUGCAAGAAUUCAAAUAAGCUAAAGUUUAAGACAUUGCAAUAAUUGCUGAAAAACAGCUAAGUCAAACUCUGUGCUCUUGCACCAGUUAAAGCUUAUUGUUUUCUCCUGUGAUAAAGGUAACACUGAAUGGGAAAUAAACCCAGAUCCUGCAAAACUUACAUCUUGUCACACUUCUCAUUUUGCAAACUUCACGAGCAAAAAAGAAAAGGAAGAACCACUACAGGACACAUUUUAUGAAGGAAAAUAUCAGUCUCUUUUGGAACAGUUCACUCUCAGCAGUGGAACCAAUUCAAUUGCAGUUCAAAUGGGGAUCUUUGUUAUAAAAUAAAACAGUGAUCUACUGCCCAAACGCAGGUGAAAAGAACUGUCACAUAGCACACUGCAUCAUUACCAGGGAGCCUGGGUAACCCUAUCUAUAGUUAAAGCCCUGAAUAUUGUGGCCCAAUCUCUCUCAUUUGUUACGCGUGUGAAAUGGCUUUAAGGGACUUUAGGAGAGAGUUGGCCCAAAAUAAGAUAAAAUGGAUGACUUGACCACUUUGCUUCCUUCUGCACAAACUAACUAACUAAUUAAAUUGCUCACUGCAAAGCAGUUGCCCUUCAAAUGCCUACUCAGCUUAGGAGACCAUACAGUAGUCUAAUUCCUAGCCAGUGAAGUCAGGCUGUCACCACGGCAGCAGGGUGUAAAUCUCCACUGUAUGAAAAGGCCCAGGCUGAUAAAGCAGAUUGUUGUACAUCUGUGUCUGCGUCUACACAAAGUAAGAAAGAACGGCUUAGGGAGGGGGCGAGGGAGAGCAAAUAGCCCACCAAAACCUUUACCAGGGCGACCACGGGUGAGCUGCCAGUUAGAUCGCAUGAGCACGGCAGGCGGGCUGAAGGAUGCUUCUGAGCACAGGGUGUGGGGUCACAGGAAGAGGAGGCAGACAGGAUGGGAAGGGAUAAUCCAGUAAAGGAACAUCACCCCGUGCCAGCUGAUUCUGGCAUCAUACUGUGAUGUUGUCCCUCAGGGGAAAAAAGCUCAUUCCAGCCUGACCUCGGUCUAAACAUUACAGUUAUUGCACAGAGAAAAGCUCAGAAAAAGCCAGCGCUUUUGCUCCAGCCUGCACUCCAGACUUACAGGCUGGGGCCCAUGAGCUGGCAGCAUACACAUCUAUAAAGACGGGGAAAGUGACAGUCUCCUUUUAAUCAGUUUAAGUCUGGCACCAGGUCAAGCUUUUCUUUAUCCUUUUCCAGUGAAACUGGAGUCUUUUCUUCUUUCUUUUCAUUAAAAUAAAUGAAUGUAUGAUUAAUGAUCCUGGAGCCUGAUAUCUCCCACGUAUUCAGAGAUUAGCUACAGCAGUGGCUACUGCCAAAACAGCACAUGCUGAUGUGUUGCAACCUUAAUCUCCAGACUCUGCUCUAAGGGCAAGAAGCCCAUUUCCAUGGCCUCAUCAGCCACUGGCCUCUUUGCUGCUGUGGAGGAACGAGCACAGUGGUGAUCUUGUAAAGAGAGGCUCUUACCUGCUAGGAAUCGAGCUGUGGCCCACCUGUUCAUCCCAGUGAGGGUGCUGAGAGACAAAGCAGCAGCAACACACAGAAUUACACAAUGACAAUGUAGCAAAACACAGGCAAAAUUGAGAUGAAAAUUAACCGAGCAAUUAAAACCCUUAAUUUUACCAUCUGGGCACACUGGUUCCCUUUGAGAAUGGGCAGUUCCUACAGAGCUUAAUUCUGUAUUGGAGAGGGUGUUGAACUGAAUCCAAGCAGAAAACCAGUUUGAACUGAUAUUUUUAAUCUCAGACCACACAGAAACUUUUAUUUUGAUGAUUUUUCUGCAGCUGAGCCAGAAUGAGCAAACAUUGAUUCUUCUGCUUCAGAAUAACAGAUCAAAAUUUGACAUCGUCACCAGGGACCUUCCUGCAUGGGAACAGCUUGUGUCUAGCAGGGCCUGAACCUCACAUCUUUUGCCAUUCAAAAGCCUUCACAUCUCUCCUAGGAUGUUCUGCUUGCCCAGAUGCUGCUUUGCUCUGCAGACCUUUACAGCAGGCUGUUCACCAGAGCAACUUUUUCACUUGCCUAAAGCGAUUCUCCUCACCAGAGAAAUUGGCCAAUUUUCUUUACUCCCCUAUGCAAAAUGACCUGGGAGGCUGCAGAGUCAUCUCUGUAUCUGCUAUUCCCAGCCCAAGCUCCUGCAUACACCCUUAGGUGCACAUUAGAUCAAUGUUCAUGCACUGUGGAGUCACAGGGUAAUCAGGAAAGGCAAAGAAACCUCCAGUCCUUCACCACUGGUGCUCUUCGCUUUCCCUUCCCUGCAAAAAUACUGUAACUCUCCACCUUUGUGCUGCUGGAGAAAAACUCCGGUUUGUCUUCUCAACAAGGCAGAUAUGGGGAUGUACAGAGAAAUGGUCAUACGGUUGUGUUAGAAAUGGGUAUCACUGCAGCUCUAGCAGAGAAACAGGAGAUCAACACGGUCUUGUCUUGAGACUCUGCAUGUAAUGGAAUCCUCAAUGGCACUGAAAGCUCCCAAUAACAUCAGUGCCAGAUUACAGACUUCUCUGUGAACAUCAUACUUCUUUUUUUUAACCCAUAUUCUGUGUCAUCCUUACCCUGAGGCCACACACCUUCCUGGGCUUCUCUUUGCCCAUCUGCACAGACUUAACUUCAGCAGAUGAUGAGAAAGACACCAAAAACUAAUGGAGUACGGUGGACCAGAGUAAACCACAGGAUCACAGCCUUUAGCUGCCCCAAAACAGAAUUAUCAUCGUCUUCCUUAAUUGCACAGACCUGUGCAGUCUGUAUUUGCUGCAUGACCAGUGGACCACCACUGUAAGGUCACCAGAAAGCCUAGAGUUUGACCUCUCCAUGAACAACAGAUUAUGUAAGUUUCUACAAACUGAAAGUCCUGGAAACAAAGCAAUAUAUUGUAUCUGAGACGGGUCUCCCAGUUAAGUACUUCUGGGUACUAUUUCCUUCCUGUUCCCCUACGAAGACAGACAGGUUUUCUUUUAAGAAGUCUCCUCAUCCUUGGUUCAACUUUGUUUUACAAAGAGAAUUAAGCAGGAGCACAAAGCUGGAGAUUGUGGGUAACUGGCAAGAUCAAACUAUGAGAGUUGUUUUAAAAGUUACUUGAUACAUAAUGAAUUGCAAAUUCAGUAGAGUACCAGCUGGAAACAGCUAAGCCCUUUACCAGCAUGAGAUGGGAAAGAACAAUGACGAAAUGAGCGAACAAUGCAGACCUGGAGAAAAAACUUCUGGCACAGCAGGGCAACAUAAGCAUGUUAUAUAGAGAACUGGUCCUUGGGUGAAGACACAGAUCCUAAAGAUGACCCCAGACAGAACCCCAGUUGAGGUACGUGGAGAAAUACACAGGAUGGCUGCGUGGUCUGAAGCCUGAGCUGUGAGCCAAAAGUCUCCGGUUUCCCUUUUUCCCAGUUGAGCUUGUCCCAAUCCUUUUCUGACACACAAGCAACCAUACCGAGGAAGUUACGAUCUGCAGUCAAACCAUGCCUGCCUCCCUCUGUCAGCUGGCCAUGCCAGAGGCCACGGAGGACCUUGUCUCAAACUGCAUGUUCUGGGAGCGUGCCCCCGGCACAACUGCCCUUCCACAGCCUGCAGCUGCUCAGCGUUUCUCUACUCCCCUCCAGCGUGCUCCCCUGUCCUGUACCGAACACCAACACACUCCCCAAGAAGGAUGAGCGUUGGAAACUAAAGUAUUCACCUUGGGGACUGAAAAGGAGAUGAAGGUUCUUUAAUACCUCAGCUACAGGCCUCUAGUUACAGAUCUUUUUUGUGGUUAUGGCCUAAAAUCUCCCCCUACAUUCUGAUGCACCAUUUUGCUCUAAAAAUAUUAGAUGUUUACAUGUAUAUUAGACCAUGGAGAAUUGAAUGAGAAUAUGUAGUAGGAGUGAUUUACUUAUGCAAUGAGUGUUCGAACACCAUCCCCAAACAAUUAUUUUCUGUUUUGGUGGGGAGAACAGACUGAAUUGUCUGUUUCAGAGUCAAUAAUGUUGCUAAUGAUGAGGGAUUUAAAAUAUACUUCUUGGCAAUAUAGUUGUUCCAUAAAACAGGAAUGCUCUUGGAUUCAGUUCUGUACUUCUUAAAUUUAUGAUUUACCCUGGACAAAAAUCUUUAAAAAUUAUAAUAUGGUGAUAAAUUAUGAAUAUUGGGCCAAAUGCUUCGCCUCUUAAGCAUUUUUUCUCACAGUCUUCCUCUAGGCUCCAUUAAGAAGAAGUUAAUGUGUGUCUCAGAAUUUGUUAUUUCUUAAUAAACAACACGCAGUGGUAGCAGACUUCAAAAAGACAGCUUUACUAUCAUAUGAUAUACUUCAGUUUCAGAAAUAAUUGACUUUGAAAGCAGACAUGCUUGCACUGGAUUACCUACUUUUCCUCUCUAGAUCCUGGAUGGCAACUUAUACUUGCCAUGUCUCCUUGAAACCUGAAAUAAGCUGGAUCCAAUUUAUACUUUUAAAGAUCCUAGCUAACCUUGUCUGAUUUAUUCCUUAUUCUUUCCAUAUAUCUAGAAAAAAAGCUGAGUUUAAACAAAAUUCAGUCCAUCAGUUGAGAGGCAGAAGUACAUAACUUCUAAGACAAGGACUAAGUGAAUGCUACCCUCUACCUUUUUUGGGGGGCAGAGGAAGAUGUUAGUAAUUUUCCAGAAUUAUUUGAUUCACUUUGCCCAGAUAUUGUGAAUAAUAAUAAUAACUUGAUAAGAAGACUCCAAUAAGACUCUUUUCCCCUCCUUCUUCUGACCCUCACUGCAGUAAAACUAGCUGUCCACUAUGAAAUAAAUGCCUUCUGUGAUCACCCCUGCAAAAGAAAGAGCAUUGCUGAUGAAACAAAAUGUACAGGAAUUGCUUGCUUUCUGUGUCUCCUUCAUAAAGGCAUUACUUUGGAUCCUUUUUUCUCUUCUUAAAAAAAAAAAAAAAAAAAAAAAAAAAAAGGAAAAAUAUACACUCCCUCGCUUCAUGUUAAAAACAAACAAACAAAAAAAACAAAAAAAAAAACAAACAAAAAAAAAAAACAUUAUACGAGAGAGAAUUUCUCUGAAGAAAUUAAAAUUGAGAGCUAGUAGGUCAGAGCUUAACCACAGUUUGCAAGGAACUCAGCCACUUAAGGACUGGGGACAAGCUCAUGAGGAUCUCCAAGUCCAUAUCCCUGAUGCAUUUCUAUAAUCUCUGACAUGGACAAAUGCAUUGCUGAUAUUAGGCCCCACAUCAGCAUUAUCCUUCACAGAUUUGGCUCAUUCAGUUGAAGAAUUUUUAGAGAGGUUUAGCUCUAAGUAUUUCACUCAACAUUGACAUUCACAGUAAAGUUUUCAUCCUUGGAGCUCUAAUUUCUUCAUGAUUUCAAACCAAAAUUAUUUCAGUUUAUUUCAAUGCAAGUAGAGGCAAUGAAACCUAAGGAUGUGGCGAUGUUUUCUCAUAUGACAAAACUAGCUUAACUUAUUUUUUCCAAUUGAAAUAUUUCAAACCACUGGAAUGUAUUGUAGUCUAGAUCUUUUGUGCAUUUGGGAUUAAAAAUAGCCAAGAUACUUCAUUUUUGAAAUAGUCUUCUGUAUCAGAGAGCUAAUUUUUUCCUCCUAAUAAAAGUUAAUUAAAAUCUGCUGGA
Anas platyrhynchos (mallard) is the source of this 7161-nucleotide long non-coding RNA. RefSeq lists it as uncharacterized. The record is from RefSeq and is a predicted model, not a curated record. NCBI's taxonomy places the organism in Eukaryota, Metazoa, Chordata, Aves, Anseriformes, Anatidae.